CUGCAGCUACUUCAGCUGACUGCCCCCCUCCCACCGCCCCCCUUCAUGGGGCUCGGGGUACACCGGCUGCGAACACAGACUUCUGGUGGUGUAUGCAGCUCGUUCCUUGUGUGUGUUGCUCUCAGGGGCCUUGGGGACACCC
This 142-nucleotide small nucleolar RNA is filed under the name Echinops telfairi (small Madagascar hedgehog). RNAcentral's name for it is "Small nucleolar RNA SNORA70 (ENSETEG00000025103.1)". It matches the Rfam family "Small nucleolar RNA SNORA70". Rfam says of the family: snoRNA U70 seems to be exclusive to mammals and is a member of the H/ACA class of snoRNA which contain H (ANANNA) and ACA box motifs. H/ACA box snoRNAs are involved in the conversion of uridines to pseudouridines (5-ribosyluracil) a constituent of structural RNAs (transfer, ribosomal, small nuclear, and small nucleolar). The record is from RNAcentral. Lineage: Eukaryota; Metazoa; Chordata; Mammalia; Afrosoricida; Tenrecidae.